GACGAACGCUGGCGGCGUGCCUAACACAUGCAAGUUGAGCGGUGAAGACUUGUUCUUGCGCCGUUUUGGAGUGCAGCGCACGGGUGAGUAACGUGUGGGAAAUCUGCUUUAGUUCGGGGGACAACAUGUGGAAACGAAUGCUAAUACCGUAUAACAACUUUAUACAUAAUUUGUAUGUUUGAAUGAUGCAAUUGCAUCACUCACACAUGAUCCCUCGUUGUAUUAGCUAGUUGGUGAGGUAACGACUCAUCAAGGCGAUGAUACAUAGCCCACGUGAGAGGGUGAGCGGCCACAUUGGGACGGAGACACGCCCCAAACGCCCAGGGGAGGCAGCAGUAGGGAUACGUCGGCAAGGGACGAAAGUCUGACCGAGCAACGCGGCGUGAGUGAAGAAGGUUUUCGGAUCGUAAAACUCGGUUGGUAGAGAAGAACGUGGGUGAGAGUGGAAAGCUCAGCAAGUGACGGUAACUACUCAGAAAGGGACGGCUAACUACGUG
Molecule: ribosomal RNA, 497 nt
Filed under: uncultured bacterium
Lineage: Bacteria
Description: partial 16S ribosomal RNA
Rfam family: Bacterial small subunit ribosomal RNA
Source: RNAcentral